GUCUUAUUUGAAUAUAAUAUUAAGUCUGCUCUGCCCAUUGAUUAAAUAAUUAAAAGGCCGCAGUAUACUGACUGUACAAAGGUAGCAUAAUCAUUUGUUUUUUAAUUGAAAACUGGAAUGAAAGAGUUAAUGAAAUAUAAAUUGUCUCAAAAUAAUAUAUUGAAUUUAAAUUAAAAGUAAAAAUGCUUUUAUUAAAUUAUAAGACGAUAAGACCCUAUAGAAUUUAAUAAAUUUUAUUUUUGUAAUUAUUUUAUUUAAUAAAAUUAUAUAAAUAAAUUAUAUUUUAUUGGGAGGAUAAUUAAAUAAGUUAAACUUUAAUAAAAUAUUAACAUUGAUGAAUGAAUGUUUUGAUUAUUGUUAUAAUUAUUAGAAUAAAUUACCUUAGGGAUAACAGCGUAAUAAUUUUGGAGAGUUCAUAUUGAUAAAAUUGUUUGCGACCUCGAUGUUGAAUUAUGAUAAAAAUUAAAUGGAGGUAUUUAAAUUUUUAGUCUGUUCGACUAUUAAAAUCAUACA
This 513-nucleotide ribosomal RNA is filed under the name Provespa nocturna. RNAcentral's name for it is "partial large subunit ribosomal RNA". The stretch from base 387 to 513 matches the Rfam family "Bacterial large subunit ribosomal RNA", at positions 2473 to 2600 of the family's 2925-position model. Lineage: Eukaryota; Metazoa; Arthropoda; Insecta; Hymenoptera; Vespidae. The record is from RNAcentral.